UUAUACUUCGUAGCGCAACCUGCUUUGUGCUCUCCCCUUCACAGCUUUCCAUUCAGAAUACUUUUAUGGACAUUAGUUUUAAUCUUUUGGUUAAUUCUUUGGACACUUGGCUUCUUUUCUAUACAUUUAAAAUUGUCUGCUAUUUUCUUGUUGUUCUUUUUUAAUAAUAUAUAAUGUAUGCCUUGAGCAGCAUUUGGCAGAGAAAAUCGAGAAAAG
RNAcentral lists this long non-coding RNA (216 nucleotides) under Erythranthe guttata (spotted monkey flower). RNAcentral describes it as "long non-coding RNA (EGUT_LNC001528)". Lineage: Eukaryota; Viridiplantae; Streptophyta; Magnoliopsida; Lamiales; Phrymaceae. The record is from RNAcentral.